AACGAACGCUGGCGGCAUGCCUAACACAUGCAAGUCGAACGAGACCUUCGGGUCUAGUGGCGCACGGGUGCGUAACGCGUGGGAACCUGCCCUUAGGUUCGGAAUAACUCCCCGAAAGGGGUGCUAAUACCGGAUAAUGUCUUCGGACCAAAGAUUUAUCGCCUUUGGAUGGGCCCGCGUUGGAUUAGCUAGUUGGUAGGGUAAAAGCCUACCAAGGCGACGAUCCAUAGCUGGUCUGAGAGGAUGAUCAGCCACACUGGGACUGAGACACGGCCCAGACUCCUACGGGAGGCAGCAGUGGGGAAUAUUGGACCAUGGGCGAAAGCAUGAUCCAGCAAUGCCGCGUGAGUGAUGAAGGCCUUAGGGUUGUAAAGCUCUUUUACCCGGGAUGAUAAUGACAGUACCGGGAGAAUAAGCCCCGGCUAACUCCGUG
This 433-nucleotide ribosomal RNA is filed under the name uncultured bacterium. Its description in RNAcentral is "partial 16S ribosomal RNA". It matches the Rfam family "Bacterial small subunit ribosomal RNA", at positions 29 to 507 of the family's 1533-position model. The record is from RNAcentral.